Molecule: ribosomal RNA, 638 nt
Filed under: Bensingtonia sp. PYCC 5547
Lineage: Eukaryota; Fungi; Basidiomycota; Agaricostilbomycetes; Agaricostilbales; Kondoaceae
Also listed under: 1 other name
Description: eukaryotic LSU rRNA
Rfam family: Eukaryotic large subunit ribosomal RNA
Source: RNAcentral
UAAGCGGAGGAAAAGAAACUAACAAGGAUUCCCCUAGUAACGGCGAGUGAAGUGGGAAAAGCUCAACUUUGUAAUCUGGCUGUCUUUGGCAGUCCGAGUUGUAGUCUAGAGAAGUGUUAUCCGCGCAGACCCUUAUAGAUUUCGGUUGGAAUGCCAAGUCAAAGAGGGUGAGAAUCCCGUAUUUGAUAAGGUGGUCUUGUGCAUUGUGAUACAUUUUCAAAGAGUCGAGUUGUUUGGGAAUGCAGCUCAAAGUGGGUGGUAAAUUCCAUCUAAAGCUAAAUAUUGGCGAGAGACCGAUAGCGAACAAGUACCGUGAGGGAAAGAUGAAAAGCACUUUGGAAAGAGAAUGAAAUAGUACCUGAAAUUGCUGAAAGGGAAACGAGUGAAGUUAGACUUGCGCAGUUGGUAUUCAGCCUUGGCUUCGGUCUUGGUGCAUUUGCCUUCUAUUGCAGGCCAACAUCAGUUUACUUUGCGGUAAAAGGGUUUUGGGAAUGUGGCUUCUUCGGGAGUGUUAUAGCCCUUUACUGGAUGCCGAAUCGUAGACUGAGGAACGCAGCGCGCCUUUAUGGCAAAGCUUUCAAGCUUCGAGCGCUUAGGAUGUUGGUAGAAUAGCUUUACACGACCCGUCUUGAAACACG